RNAcentral lists this ribosomal RNA (497 nucleotides) under uncultured bacterium. RNAcentral describes it as "partial 16S ribosomal RNA". It matches the Rfam family "Bacterial small subunit ribosomal RNA", at positions 28 to 507 of the family's 1533-position model. The record is from RNAcentral.
GAUGAACGCUGGCGGCGUGCCUAAUACAUGCAAGUCGAGCGAACGGAUGAGAAGCUUGCUUCUCUGAUGUUAGCGGCGGACGGGUGAGUAACACGUGGAUAACCUACCUAUAAGACUGGGAUAACUUCGGGAAACCGGAGCUAAUACCGGAUGAUAUUUUGAACCGCAUGGUUCAAAAGUGAAAGACGGUUUUGCUGUCACUUAUAGAUGGAUCCGCGCUGCAUUAGCUAGUUGGUAAGGUAACGGCUUACCAAGGCAACGAUGCAUAGCCGACCUGAGAGGGUGAUCGGCCACACUGGAACUGAGACACGGUCCAGACUCCUACGGGAGGCAGCAGUAGGGAAUCUUCCGCAAUGGGCGAAAGCCUGACGGAGCAACGCCGCGUGAGUGAUGAAGGUCUUCGGAUCGUAAAACUCUGUUAUUAGGGAAGAACAUAUGUGUAAGUAACUGUGCACAUCUUGACGGUACCUAAUCAGAAAGCCACGGCUAACUACGUG